UACAGAGGUCUCAAGCGUUGUUCGGAUUCAUUGGGCGUAAAGCGCACGUAGGCGGCUUUGCAAGUCCCAUGUGAAAUCCCACGGCUCAACCGUGGAAGUGCAUGGGAAACUGCAGAGCUUGAGUACUUAAGAGGAUCGCGGAAUUCCCGGUGUAGAGGUGAAAUUCGUAGAUAUCGGGAGGAACACCAGUGGCGAAGGCGGCGAUCUGGGAAGAUACUGACGCUGAGGUGCGAAAGCGUGGGGAGCAAACAGG
This 253-nucleotide ribosomal RNA is filed under the name uncultured bacterium. RNAcentral describes it as "partial 16S ribosomal RNA". It matches the Rfam family "Bacterial small subunit ribosomal RNA", at positions 524 to 776 of the family's 1533-position model. The record is from RNAcentral.